GUAUUAGCUAGUUGGUGAGGUAAUGGCUCACCAAGGCAACGAUACGUAGCCGACCUGAGAGGGUGAUCGGCCACACUGGAACUGAGACACGGUCCAGACUCCUACGGGAGGCAGCAGUAGGGAAUCUGCCGCAAUGGGCGAAAGCCUGACGGAGCAACGCCGCGUGAGUGAUGAAGGUCUUCGGAUCGUAAAGCUCUGUUGUUAGGGAAGAACAAAUGUGUAAGUAACU
RNAcentral lists this ribosomal RNA (229 nucleotides) under Staphylococcus chromogenes. RNAcentral describes it as "partial 16S ribosomal RNA". It matches the Rfam family "Bacterial small subunit ribosomal RNA", at positions 238 to 466 of the family's 1533-position model. Lineage: Bacteria; Bacillati; Bacillota; Bacilli; Caryophanales; Staphylococcaceae. The record is from RNAcentral.